RNAcentral lists this ribosomal RNA (375 nucleotides) under uncultured bacterium. Its description in RNAcentral is "bacterial SSU rRNA". It matches the Rfam family "Bacterial small subunit ribosomal RNA", at positions 335 to 700 of the family's 1533-position model. The record is from RNAcentral.
ACUCCUACGGGAGGCAGCAGUGGGGAAUAUUGCACAAUGGGCGCAAGCCUGAUGCAGCCAUGCCGCGUGUGUGAAGAAGGCCUUCGGGUUGUAAAGCACUUUCAGUCGUGAGGAAGGUGGUGUAGUUAAUAGCUGCAUUAUUUGACGUUAGCGACAGAAGAAGCCGACCGGCUAACUCCGUGCCAGCAGCCGCGGUAAUACGGAGGGUGCGAGCGUUAAUCGGAAUUACUGGGCGUAAAGCGCAUGCAGGUGGUUUGUUAAGUCAGAUGUGAAAGCCCGGGGCUCAACCUCGGAAUUGCAUUUGAAACUGGCAGACUAGAGUACUGUAGAGGGGGGUAGAAUUUCAGGUGUAGCGGUGAAAUGCGUAGAGAUCUG